UACGAGGGGGGCCAGCGUUGUUCGGAAUUAUUGGGCGUCAAGGGCGCGUAGGCGGCGCCACAAGUCCCUUGUGACAACUCUGGGCUCAACUCAGAGCCUGCAAGCGAAACUGUGGUGCUGGAGUAUGGGAGAGGUGCGUGGAAUUCCCGGUGUAGCGGUGAAAUGCGUAGAUAUCGGGAGGAACGCCUGUGGCGAAAGCGGCGCACUGGACCAUAACUGACGCUGAGGCGCGAAAGCUAGGGGAGCAAACAGG
This 253-nucleotide ribosomal RNA is filed under the name uncultured bacterium. RNAcentral's name for it is "partial 16S ribosomal RNA". It matches the Rfam family "Bacterial small subunit ribosomal RNA", at positions 524 to 776 of the family's 1533-position model. The record is from RNAcentral.